ACUUUUCUGCUGGCUUGUCCGAAAGAGAGGAACCCGCUGCCGAUUGUGAGCUGCGUUAUUUUGCAAUGGUUUUUGAAUCAGGUGAUAUCUCAAAGUUUUCCAGGCUUUAUUCUUCACGUCCAGUCAAGGGUCCAAUCUUACUAACAGCAGCUUUGAUCAGAUCAAAUAUGUACUCCGUAGAAGAACUUCCUCCUGCCUGAAAGGAUCACCCCGGAGCCAUCUGGUAGAAAGAAAGGAUGCUUUGUGAACCGGACAAUCCUCGAUAAGUAUGCUCUGGAUGUUGGGAUUUCUCUUCCCGUCAAUCUGGAAUCUCAGAUGCUUGUCCAAGCCAGCAGCAAGCAUCAGUUCUCCAUUCCUAUGAAACUGAGCUGAAUUAAUAGCACCAUUAGAUGGCUCCUGAGCAUUAGCAUCAACAAACCUUGAGAAGUCGAACAUGCCACAGUACCCUUAGUAACAAGCUCACGUUGUUCUGAAGGAUUUAUUUUUUUGAGG
This 492-nucleotide long non-coding RNA is filed under the name Brachypodium distachyon (stiff brome). Its description in RNAcentral is "long non-coding RNA (BDIS_LNC000312)". The record is from RNAcentral. Lineage: Eukaryota; Viridiplantae; Streptophyta; Magnoliopsida; Poales; Poaceae.